RNAcentral lists this non-coding RNA (169 nucleotides) under pig gut metagenome. RNAcentral's name for it is "Lysine riboswitch". It matches the Rfam family "Lysine riboswitch aptamer". From Rfam's summary of the family: Riboswitches are metabolite binding domains within certain messenger RNAs that serve as precision sensors for their corresponding targets. The record is from RNAcentral.
AAGGGUAGAGGUCGCGUGAAUUAAGAGUAUCUCUUCGGAUGUGACAGGCGCAGAGGAAGAAGAGAGAAAGGGAGGAACGCCGAAAGAGGAGAUUUCCUGUAGAUUGAAUCUUGGGCACAGGGUCAACAGCCUUGUGACUGUCAUCUUUAUUAAGAUGGGGAGCUAUCGA